GGCGACGUGGCGGAGUGGUUACGCAGGGGUCUGCAAAACCCCGUACACCAGUUCAAUUCUGGUCGUCGCCUCCA
This 74-nucleotide transfer RNA is filed under the name Candidatus Abawacabacteria bacterium RBG_16_42_10. RNAcentral's name for it is "tRNA-Cys". It matches the Rfam family "tRNA". From Rfam's summary of the family: Transfer RNA (tRNA) molecules are approximately 80 nucleotides in length. Their secondary structure includes four short double-helical elements and three loops (D, anti-codon, and T loops). Lineage: Bacteria; Candidatus Abawacaibacteriota. RNAcentral also lists the same sequence under 1 other name. The record is from RNAcentral.